AGACACAUGCUCCAAGAGCAGCCAAAAAAGGUUAACUGGCUGUCAGCUUUGGAGUCUGACCAUUAGCUGGGAGACACAAUGCUUAUUUACAGGGCAAGCAGAAAGCAGUGGAGUCUGUGGGAAAGGAGAAGCGACAGAGUCUGUACAGAGAACUCUGAAACAGAAAGCAAGUCAGAAGAUAAUUUCUCUUGAAGGCAUUUCAGGCACCUGCCGUUCCAAUUGGGCUCUUUUGGAAAGAAGCAUCCAGUGGGAUGAAUGCAAGAAUCAAGGCAGAAGUAGUUUGAUACGAUUUGGAGUUUCAGGACUGCAUGCUGAACUCAGCCCUAGUGCUCAAGCUUUGAGAACAUUCAAUCCUUGCAGUCUGUUCUCCUACAACCUAUAAUGGCCUCAUGGGAGCUACAACUAGUCAUUCGCACAGCUCCAGUGUUGAGCCAGAAAUCUCCAGGUUUCCUGAGGGCAUCAAUCUCUAGAUUAGAUAUUGAAAGGCUGCUCUCAGAUCUCCCCGGGGCCUUCUCUUCUCCAGUCUGAACACCUCCAGCUCUCCCAGACUGUCCUCACAGGGAGGUGUUUCAUCCCUUGGAUCAUUUUUGUGGCCCUCUUCUGGAUGUGCUCCAACAGACACGUCUCUCCUGUAUUGACUCCAUGUCUGGAUGCAGUACUCCAGCAUAGCUUCCAGGAGGAUCUGUUCCAUGACCUUCCUCACCACAGAGAUGAGGCUG
RNAcentral lists this long non-coding RNA (719 nucleotides) under Gallus gallus (chicken). Lineage: Eukaryota; Metazoa; Chordata; Aves; Galliformes; Phasianidae. The record is from RNAcentral.